This 508-nucleotide ribosomal RNA is filed under the name uncultured bacterium. Its description in RNAcentral is "partial 16S ribosomal RNA". It matches the Rfam family "Bacterial small subunit ribosomal RNA", at positions 30 to 523 of the family's 1533-position model. The record is from RNAcentral.
AUUGAACGCUGGCGGCAUGCCUUACACAUGCAAGUCGAACGGCAGCGGGGGAGAAGCUUGCUUUUCCUGCCGGCGAGUGGCGAACGGGUGAGUAAUACAUCGGAACGUGCCCUGUAGUGGGGGAUAACUAGUCGAAAGAUUAGCUAAUACCGCAUACGACCUGAGGGUGAAAGUGGGGGACCGCAAGGCCUCAUGCUAUAGGAGCGGCCGAUGUCUGAUUAGCUAGCUGGUGGGGUAAAGGCCUACCAAGGCGACGAUCAGUAGCUGGUCUGAGAGGACGAUCAGCCACCCUGGGACUGAGACACGGCCCAGCCGCCUACGGGAGGCAGCAGUGGGGAAUUUUGGACAAUGGGCGAAAGCCUGAUCCAGCAAUGCGGCGUGUGUGAAGAAGGCCUUCGGGUUGUAAAGCACUUUUGUCCGGAAAGAAAUGGCUCUGGUUAAUACCUGGGGUCGAUGACGGUACCGGAAGAAUAAGGACCGGCUAACUACGUGCCAGCAGCCGCGGUAA